UACGGGGGGGGCAAGCGUUGUUCGGAAUUACUGGGCGUAAAGGGCUCGUAGGCGGCCAAUUAAGUCGGAUGUGAAAUCCCCAGGCUUAACCUGGGAACUGCAUCCGAUACUGGAUGGCUUGAAUCCGGGAGAGGGAUGCAGAAUUCCAGGUGUAGCGGUGAAAUGCGUAGAUAUCUGGAGGAAUACCGGUGGCGAAGGCGGCAUCCUGGACCGGCAUUGACGCUGAUGAGCGAAAGCCAGGGGAGCAAACGGG
This 253-nucleotide ribosomal RNA is filed under the name uncultured bacterium. RNAcentral describes it as "partial 16S ribosomal RNA". It matches the Rfam family "Bacterial small subunit ribosomal RNA", at positions 524 to 776 of the family's 1533-position model. The record is from RNAcentral.